UGUGUGCGUUGCGUUGAUGUAUUUCAGGCGUUUAUACUGGUGAUGUUUGUUAUUACUUAUCUCCAGUGUACACCUGAAAUAUACCAACAAAUGCUUAGAC
This is a non-coding RNA of Saccoglossus kowalevskii, 100 nucleotides long. The record is from RefSeq and is marked provisional. NCBI's taxonomy places the organism in Eukaryota, Metazoa, Hemichordata, Enteropneusta, Harrimaniidae.